RNAcentral lists this ribosomal RNA (2907 nucleotides) under Pectobacterium nicotianae. RNAcentral's name for it is "Pectobacterium sp. 21LCBS03 23S ribosomal RNA". It matches the Rfam family "Bacterial large subunit ribosomal RNA". Lineage: Bacteria; Pseudomonadati; Pseudomonadota; Gammaproteobacteria; Enterobacterales; Pectobacteriaceae. The record is from RNAcentral.
GGUUAAGCGACUAAGCGUACACGGUGGAUGCCUAGGCAGUCAGAGGCGAUGAAGGGCGUGCUAAUCUGCGAUAAGCGUCGGUAAGCUGAUAUGAAGCGUUAUACCCGACGAUACCCGAAUGGGGAAACCCAGUGUGUUUCGACACACUAUCAUGACAUGAAUACAUAGUGUCAUGAGGCGAACCGGGGGAACUGAAACAUCUCAGUACCCCGAGGAAAAGAAAUCAACCGAGAUUCCCCCAGUAGCGGCGAGCGAACGGGGAGGAGCCCAGAACCUGAAUCAGUUUGUGUGUUAGUGGAAGCGUCUGGAAAGUCGCACAGUAAAGGGUGAUAGUCCCGUACACAAAAAUGCACAAGUUGUGAGUUCGAUGAGUAGGGCGGGACACGUGACAUCCUGUCUGAAUAUGGGGGGACCAUCCUCCAAGGCUAAAUACUCCUGACUGACCGAUAGUGAACCAGUACCGUGAGGGAAAGGCGAAAAGAACCCCGGCGAGGGGAGUGAAAUAGAACCUGAAACCGUGUACGUACAAGCAGUGGGAGCCUACUUGUUAGGUGACUGCGUACCUUUUGUAUAAUGGGUCAGCGACUUAUAUUCUGUAGCAAGGUUAACCGUAUAGGGGAGCCGCAGGGAAACCGAGUCUUAACUGGGCGUUAAGUUGCAGGGUAUAGACCCGAAACCCGGUGAUCUAGCCAUGGGCAGGUUGAAGGUUGGGUAACACUAACUGGAGGACCGAACCGACUAAUGUUGAAAAAUUAGCGGAUGACUUGUGGCUGGGGGUGAAAGGCCAAUCAAACCGGGAGAUAGCUGGUUCUCCCCGAAAGCUAUUUAGGUAGCGCCUCGUGAAUUCAUCUUCGGGGGUAGAGCACUGUUUCGGCUAGGGGGUCAUCCCGACUUACCAACCCGAUGCAAACUACGAAUACCGAAGAAUGUUAUCACGGGAGACACACGGCGGGUGCUAACGUUCGUCGUGAAGAGGGAAACAACCCAGACCGCCAGCUAAGGUCCCAAAGUCAUGGUUAAGUGGGAAACGAUGUGGGAAGGCAUAGACAGCCAGGAUGUUGGCUUAGAAGCAGCCAUCAUUUAAAGAAAGCGUAAUAGCUCACUGGUCGAGUCGGCCUGCGCGGAAGAUGUAACGGGGCUAAACCAUGCACCGAAGCUGCGGCAGCGACACUUAGGUGUUGUUGGGUAGGGGAGCGUUCUGUAAGCCUGCGAAGGUGGCCUGUGAGGGCUGCUGGAGGUAUCAGAAGUGCGAAUGCUGACAUAAGUAACGAUAAUGCGGGUGAAAAACCCGCACGCCGGAAGACCAAGGGUUCCUGUCCAACGUUAAUCGGGGCAGGGUGAGUCGACCCCUAAGGCGAGGCUGAAAAGCGUAGUCGAUGGGAAACAGGUUAAUAUUCCUGUACUCGGUGUUACUGCGAAGGGGGGACGGAGAAAGCUAGGUUAUCCGGGCGACGGUUGUCCCGGUUUAAGCGUGAAGGUGGAUGACUUUGGUAAAUCCGGGUCAUCGUUAACACUGAGGCGUGAUGACGAGUCACUACGGUGAUGAAGUAACCGAUGCUACGCUUCCAGGAAAAGCCUCUAAGCUCCAGGUAACAUCAAAUCGUACCCCAAACCGACACAGGUGGUCAGGUAGAGAAUACUCAGGCGCUUGAGAGAACUCGGGUGAAGGAACUAGGCAAAAUGGUGCCGUAACUUCGGGAGAAGGCACGCUGAUGGUAGGUGAAGUGACUUGCUCAUGGAGCUGAAAUCAGUCGAAGAUACCAGCUGGCUGCAACUGUUUAAUAAAAACACAGCACUGUGCAAACACGAAAGUGGACGUAUACGGUGUGACGCCUGCCCGGUGCCGGAAGGUUAAUUGAUGGGGUCAGCCGCAAGGCGAAGCUCUUGAUCGAAGCCCCGGUAAACGGCGGCCGUAACUAUAACGGUCCUAAGGUAGCGAAAUUCCUUGUCGGGUAAGUUCCGACCUGCACGAAUGGCGUAAUGAUGGCCAGGCUGUCUCCACCCGAGACUCAGUGAAAUUGAACUCGCUGUGAAGAUGCAGUGUACCCGCGGCAAGACGGAAAGACCCCGUGAACCUUUACUAUAGCUUGACACUGAACCUUGAGCCUUGAUGUGUAGGAUAGGUGGGAGGCUUUGAAGCGUGGACGCCAGUCUGCGUGGAGCCAACCUUGAAAUACCACCCUUUAAUGUUUGAUGUUCUAACGUGGACCCGUAAUCCGGGUUGCGGACAGUGUCUGGUGGGUAGUUUGACUGGGGCGGUCUCCUCCCAAAGCGUAACGGAGGAGCACGAAGGUUAGCUAAUCCUGGUCGGACAUCAGGAGGUUAGUGCAAAGGCAUAAGCUAGCUUGACUGCGAGAGUGACAGCUCGAGCAGGUGCGAAAGCAGGUCUUAGUGAUCCGGUGGUUCUGAAUGGAAGGGCCAUCGCUCAACGGAUAAAAGGUACUCCGGGGAUAACAGGCUGAUACCGCCCAAGAGUUCAUAUCGACGGCGGUGUUUGGCACCUCGAUGUCGGCUCAUCACAUCCUGGGGCUGAAGUAGGUCCCAAGGGUAUGGCUGUUCGCCAUUUAAAGUGGUACGCGAGCUGGGUUUAGAACGUCGUGAGACAGUUCGGUCCCUAUCUGCCGUGGGCGUUGGAAGAUUGAGAGGGGUUGCUCCUAGUACGAGAGGACCGGAGUGAACGCACCACUGGUGUACGGGUUGUGAUGCCAAUUGCAUUGCCCGGUAGCUAAGUGCGGAAGAGAUAACCGCUGAAAGCAUCUAAGCGGGAAACUUGCCUCGAGAUGAGUCUUCCCUGGACACUUGAUGUCCCUGAAGGGCCGUUGAAGACGACGACGUAGAUAGGCUGGGUGUGUAAGCGUAGCGAUACGUUGAGCUAACCAGUACUAAUGACCCGAGAGGCUUAACCUU